This 497-nucleotide ribosomal RNA is filed under the name uncultured bacterium. RNAcentral describes it as "partial 16S ribosomal RNA". It matches the Rfam family "Bacterial small subunit ribosomal RNA", at positions 28 to 507 of the family's 1533-position model. The record is from RNAcentral.
GAUGAACGCUGGCGGCGUGCCUAAUACAUGCAAGUCGAGCGAACAGAUGAGGAGCUUGCUCCUCUGACGUUAGCGGCGGACGGGUGAGUAACACGUGGAUAACCUACCUAUAAGACUGGGAUAACUUCGGGAAACCGGAGCUAAUACCGGAUAAUAUAUUGAACCGCAUGGUUCAAUAGUGAAAGACGGUUUUGCUGUCACUUAUAGAUGGAUCCGCGCCGCAUUAGCUAGUUGGUAAGGUAACGGCUUACCAAGGCAACGAUGCGUAGCCGACCUGAGAGGGUGAUCGGCCGCCCGGGAGGUGGGACGGCGUCCAGACUCCUACGGGAGGCAGCAGUAGGGAAUGGUCCGCAAUGGGCGGAAGCCUGACGGAACAACGCCGCGUGAGUGAUGAAGGUCUUGGGAUCGUAAAACUCUGUUAUGAGGGAAGAACAAAUGUGUAAGUAACUAUGCACUGCGUGACGGUAACUAGUCAGAAAGCAACGGCUAACUACGUG